RNAcentral lists this ribosomal RNA (511 nucleotides) under uncultured bacterium. RNAcentral describes it as "bacterial SSU rRNA". It matches the Rfam family "Bacterial small subunit ribosomal RNA", at positions 32 to 518 of the family's 1533-position model. The record is from RNAcentral.
AACGCUGGCGGCGUGCCUAACACAUGCAAGUCGAACGAAGCAUGAUUGAAGGAGACUCGGUCAAUGGAUAUCAUGACUUAGUGGCGGACGGGUGAGUAAUACAUGAGCAACCUGCCUUCAGAGGGGGGACAACAGCUGGAAACGGCUGCUAAUACCGCAUAACGUGCGAGAGGGGCAUCCCUUUUGUACCAAAGGAGCAAUCCGCUGAAAGAUGGGCUCAUGACUGAUUAGUUAGUUGGCAGGGCAACGGCCUACCAAGACUGCGAUCAGUAGCCGGACUGAGAGGUUGAACGGCCACAUUGGGACUGAGAUACGGCCCAGACUCCUACGGGAGGCAGCAGCUAAGAAUCUUCCGCAAUGGGCGAAAGCCUGACGGAGCGACGCCGCGUGAACGAAGAAGGCCGUGAGGUUGUAAAGUUCUUUCGGGAGGGGGAACAACCGUGGCAGGGAAUGGCCGCGGGAUGACGUGAAUCCCGGAAUAAGCCCCGGCUAACUACGUGCCAGCAGCAGC